UCAAAAAGACAAAACAGAAGACAAAAAUAACACAAAGUUAUUUUAAAAAUACAGAGAAGAAAUAAAAUAGCGAAAACAUGAGGUGAUGCAGAACUUUUAUCUAUCAUUAAAAAUAAUGCAAUAAAAUGAAACCAUUCCCCUUAUCAGAUUAGGAGAUGUAAAUCCUGAUAACAUCCAAUGUGGGUAAAGGUGUAGGGGAUCAGGUGCUUUCACACACUGCUGCUGGAAAUGUACAGUCUUUUUUGGAAAGUGUCAAAUUUUCAAAAUGUAUCUAUCCUUAAACUUAGCAAUCGGCAGGGCACGGUGGCUCACGCCUGUAAUCGCAGCACUUUGGGAGACCAAAGCAGAUGAAUCACCUGAGGUCAAGAGUUCAAGACCAGCCUGGCCAACACGAAAGAAGCUCUCACAGUGGAAGACUAUAAUAUGACAUAAGAAGAAAUGUGGACUUGGAGAUACAGAAGAGUUUCACUCUGCCAUUCAGGCUGCAGUGCAGUGGUGCGA
This 501-nucleotide long non-coding RNA is filed under the name Homo sapiens (human). RNAcentral describes it as "HSALNT0382146". Lineage: Eukaryota; Metazoa; Chordata; Mammalia; Primates; Hominidae. The record is from RNAcentral.